GCCGGGCGUGGUGGAGUGUGCCUGUAAUCCCAGUUACUCAGGAGGCUGAGGCAGGAGAAUUGCUUGAACCCAGGAGGCAGAGGGUGCAGUGAGCUGAGAUUUCACCACUGCACUCCAGCCUGAGGGACAGAGCAAGACUCUGUCUCAA
This is an unclassified non-coding RNA of Macaca mulatta (Rhesus monkey), 148 nucleotides long. It matches the Rfam family "Metazoan signal recognition particle RNA". Rfam says of the family: The signal recognition particle (SRP) is a universally conserved ribonucleoprotein. It is involved in the co-translational targeting of proteins to membranes. The eukaryotic SRP consists of a 300-nucleotide 7S RNA and six proteins: SRPs 72, 68, 54, 19, 14, and 9. The record is from Ensembl. Lineage: Eukaryota; Metazoa; Chordata; Mammalia; Primates; Cercopithecidae.